CCCACGUGAGGGGGCCAACCAAGCAUCCCCAGCCCUGGGGCCACCCAGCCCGCUCCGGAGGGAAGGGGCAGGGAAAAAGGGCAUCCCGGGGCCAAACCUCAUGCCGGAUCCUCCGGCUUUCCCCCCAUUUCCAGGAUAUCGUUUCGCAUCAGGGACACUCGUCUCCACACCUCCUACCUCAAAGUCUUGCGCACCUACCCUUAACGUCUCUCCAAAGCAACUGAAUUAAAGCGCCUACUGGCCUUGGCGGCGCAGAUAAUACACAGGCAUCUUAUGAAGAUUAACCAACAUAUAGAAGAAUAUGAAGAAAGUGAAAAUCAUCAGAAGCCCCACAGUCUUGGAUGACCAUAGUUGAUAUUCUGAAGAUGUCAGAGUGGGAUUUGCAGUAGACUCCCAGCAGCUCCCAGGAGCACCAAGUGAGAUGCCUGCCAGGCCCACUGUGUCCACUGCCCUCUGGUAGCACCUGAGGAUCAUGGGUAAGUUCUCUGAUUCCAAAGCUGCAUGGAUUUGUAUUUUGAGCUUUCCAAGUCUGAGCAAAUUUUAGAUCUAAACAGGGUUCAGCAGUUAUGACAGAUAUUGGACUGGGUCCAUGAUUGUACUGGAUCUGAUCAUUAACUAGAUUGGGUCCAGUUAGAGGCCUCAGAUGCCUGACUGGAUCAAACAGAAACUGGAAGUAAAUGGCAAUAGUGCAGGGGCUGGGAACUCUGGCUUUAGGAAAUUCAGGGGAUUUUUGUGUUCUAUUCUCUUUCUAUCUUUUUCUUAUGUGCUUAGGUAGGGAAAAUCAUUGGUUAAGUUGCUCAAGGGUAUCUGAGGGCCAACGUCCAGAUUCAACAUAAAAAAUGAGACCCCUUAAUUUCUGAAGAACUGAAUUCUCCACCUUCUGGCUAUGCCUGCAUUUGCAUGUGUAAGUAUUAGGCCCUGGAAGCAGCAAACACUUAGAAAAAUGGCAAAAUUGACCGGGCGCGGUGGCUCAAGCCAGCACUU
Chlorocebus sabaeus (green monkey) is the source of this 984-nucleotide non-coding RNA. The record is from RefSeq and is a predicted model, not a curated record. Lineage: Eukaryota; Metazoa; Chordata; Mammalia; Primates; Cercopithecidae.